GUGCGCGGAGGAAUCAGAAACAGAUAUGUGAGUCGCCGACUCCAGCAAGCGAGUCGCCGAUCCCGUAAGAGGAAUCGGUGAGGUUUGGCUGGGAGUCGCCGACCCAGUAGCAGCUGAAGCCUGCCCCGGUCGCCUGAAGCGUCUCCCUCUGACAGGGCCUUCAUGAGUCGCCGACUCCACAUUGGGAGUCGCCGACACAGAGGCCAC
This 207-nucleotide long non-coding RNA is filed under the name Zostera marina. Its description in RNAcentral is "long non-coding RNA (ZMAR_LNC003223)". Lineage: Eukaryota; Viridiplantae; Streptophyta; Magnoliopsida; Alismatales; Zosteraceae. The record is from RNAcentral.